GUAGUGUCGCUUAUUUUGACCCUACAUGGCGCAGUCAAAACAAUUCAAACGAAGGAAGAUCACUUUUUCACUACCUUACAAUGAAAACACACAUCAUAUAAAUACAAGUUAAAAAAUUCGAAUUUCAAUCACUUUCCUGGACCUAGCAGAAGAAAAUACCCCAUACUGAUACGUAAUUCUCUGAGCAACCAAAAGAGAAAUUAGAGACGGAAAACGCGGCUACCUUAUAGGAAGCAUGAGAGUGAG
This 246-nucleotide unclassified non-coding RNA is filed under the name Hevea brasiliensis (rubber tree). Lineage: Eukaryota; Viridiplantae; Streptophyta; Magnoliopsida; Malpighiales; Euphorbiaceae. The record is from RNAcentral.